GAUGAAGAACGGAGCGAAAUGCGAUAAGUAAUGUGAAUUGCAGAAUUCAGUGAAUCAUCGAAUCUUUGAACGCACAUUGCGCCCGCCAGUAUUCUGGCGGGCAUGCCUGUUCGAGCGUCAUUACAACCCUCAGGCCCCCGGGCCUGGCGUUGGGGAUCGGCGGAAGCCCCCUGCGGGCACAACGCCGUCCCCCAAAUACAGUGGCGGUCCCGCCGCAGCUUCCAUUGCGUAGUAGCUAACACCUCGCAACUGGAGAGCGGCGCGGCCACGCCGUAAAACACCCAACUUCUGAAUGUUGACCUCGAAUCAGGUAGGAAUACCCGCUGAACUUAAGCAUAUCAAUAAGCGGAGGA
RNAcentral lists this unclassified non-coding RNA (353 nucleotides) under soil metagenome. RNAcentral's name for it is "partial contains 5.8S ribosomal RNA, internal transcribed spacer 2, and large subunit ribosomal RNA". The stretch from base 1 to 120 matches the Rfam family "5.8S ribosomal RNA", at positions 35 to 154 of the family's 154-position model. The record is from RNAcentral.